This 1440-nucleotide ribosomal RNA is filed under the name Lacticaseibacillus rhamnosus. RNAcentral's name for it is "bacterial SSU rRNA". It matches the Rfam family "Bacterial small subunit ribosomal RNA". The record is from RNAcentral. Lineage: Bacteria; Bacillati; Bacillota; Bacilli; Lactobacillales; Lactobacillaceae.
UGCAAGUCGAACGAGUUCUGAUUAUUGAAGGGUGCUUGCAUCUUGAUUUAAUUUUGAACGAGUGGCGGACGGGUGAGUAACACGUGGGUAACCUGCCCUUAAGUGGGGGAUAACAUUUGGAAACAGAUGCUAAUACCGCAUAAAUCCAAGAACCGCAUGGUUCUUGGCUGAAAGAUGGCGUAAGCUAUCGCUUUUGGAUGGACCCGCGGCGUAUUAGCUAGUUGGUGAGGUAACGGCUCACCAAGGCAAUGAUACGUAGCCGAACUGAGAGGUUGAUCGGCCACAUUGGGACUGAGACACGGCCCAAACUCCUACGGGAGGCAGCAGUAGGGAAUCUUCCACAAUGGACGCAAGUCUGAUGGAGCAACGCCGCGUGAGUGAAGAAGGCUUUCGGGUCGUAAAACUCUGUUGUUGGAGAAGAAUGGUCGGCAGAGUAACUGUUGUCGGCGUGACGGUAUCCAACCAGAAAGCCACGGCUAACUACGUGCCAGCAGCCGCGGUAAUACGUAGGUGGCAAGCGUUAUCCGGAUUUAUUGGGCGUAAAGCGAGCGCAGGCGGUUUUUUAAGUCUGAUGUGAAAGCCCUCGGCUUAACCGAGGAAGUGCAUCGGAAACUGGGAAACUUGAGUGCAGAAGAGGACAGUGGAACUCCAUGUGUAGCGGUGAAAUGCGUAGAUAUAUGGAAGAACACCAGUGGCGAAGGCGGCUGUCUGGUCUGUAACUGACGCUGAGGCUCGAAAGCAUGGGUAGCGAACAGGAUUAGAUACCCUGGUAGUCCAUGCCGUAAACGAUGAAUGCUAGGUGUUGGAGGGUUUCCGCCCUUCAGUGCCGCAGCUAACGCAUUAAGCAUUCCGCCUGGGGAGUACGACCGCAAGGUUGAAACUCAAAGGAAUUGACGGGGGCCCGCACAAGCGGUGGAGCAUGUGGUUUAAUUCGAAGCAACGCGAAGAACCUUACCAGGUCUUGACAUCUUUUGAUCACCUGAGAGAUCAGGUUUCCCCUUCGGGGGCAAAAUGACAGGUGGUGCAUGGUUGUCGUCAGCUCGUGUCGUGAGAUGUUGGGUUAAGUCCCGCAACGAGCGCAACCCUUAUGACUAGUUGCCAGCAUUUAGUUGGGCACUCUAGUAAGACUGCCGGUGACAAACCGGAGGAAGGUGGGGAUGACGUCAAAUCAUCAUGCCCCUUAUGACCUGGGCUACACACGUGCUACAAUGGAUGGUACAACGAGUUGCGAGACCGCGAGGUCAAGCUAAUCUCUUAAAGCCAUUCUCAGUUCGGACUGUAGGCUGCAACUCGCCUACACGAAGUCGGAAUCGCUAGUAAUCGCGGAUCAGCACGCCGCGGUGAAUACGUUCCCGGGCCUUGUACACACCGCCCGUCACACCAUGAGAGUUUGUAACACCCGAAGCCGGUGGCGUAACCCUUUUAGGGAGCGAGCCGUCU